UUUUUUUUUUUUUUUUUAAUAACAUCCUAAUUAGGAGACUUACCCUUACUAUAUUUCAUAGUCAGUUUGACCCAAGAGAAGCUUGAUGGUUAAGUUUCAAUAACUGGACAAAUAUGCCAUAUACUCUCACAAUUCCCUGAAAUCCCUAUUCCUCUCCCUAGGUAACACAUUACACUGUCUCCUCUUCCCUUCACAAUCUCCAGUGUCCCCACCGUCUCUCUGGCGGCUCCUUUAGACAGAGCGCAUCACCGAAGAACAAGAAGCCACCAAUGCUCCUUCACCUCCCACAGGUUUCUCAGAACUCUCCAGGCUGCCUGGAUAGUUUUAAGGCCCUAGUAUUGUGUGGGGGGAUGCUGCUGAAUUUAGACUUAUCUGGCACAAGGAAGAGAGAUGCAUCCAUAGUCACUGAGGUAGGGAUUAUAAUGAGCAAUAAGGGGAUCCUCACAUUAAUCUGAAUAUUUCUUCAAAACUUCCUAUCAGGCAGCUUCAUUCUCUAUUAUUUGAGCCUACUUCCAUCUUUCCCCCCUUCGUUUCACUGAUUUGUAAUCUUAACUAUUUCUGAAUCACAUUUAAAUCAUUUUCUUCUCGUAUUAAAUUCCUGUCACUUAAUUUUUAAGACAGGCACAUAACAUUUUAAAAGCAUGAAACUGUAUUAACCAUUUGCAAAUUUUCACAUAUGAGGGCUCCUGCCAGUAUGUGAUCUUAAGCCAAAACAAAGUCUAAUGUUUAAAAGGACCCUUUUGAAACAGGUUUCAAAAGCAGGGACAUUAGGUCUUUAAAAACUUUCUAUUUCUGGUUUACACUGACAAAGUAUAUCCUCCUGCUUUCUCCAAGAAGAAAUUACAGUUUGGCAGCAGGUAAGAGGGAGAAAGUUUCUCACACAAAUGAGUGGCAAGAAAAAAGUUACUUUAUUCUUCCUUUUAGAGGCAAGCAACUUAAUGUCAUUGAUUAUAUGCGAUCUUUGAACAUCUAACAUGCAUAAGGUCUGUAAAAAUUUGCUAAAUGUUUUUUUUUUUUUCAUUUCAACUCAUGACUUUCCAAAAUCAUAGAAAGUAAUUUCACAAAAGACUGAGUUUGAGGGACGCCUGGGUGGCUCAACGGUUAAAACGUCUGCCUUCAGCUCAGGGUGUGACCCUGGGGACCCGGGAUGGAGUCCCAGGUGGGUCUCCCUGCAUGGAGCCUGCUUCUCCCUCUGCCUGUGUCUCUGCCUCUGUGUGUGUGUGUUUCUCACGGAUAAACAAAUAAAAUCUUAAAAGAAAAAAAAAGAAAAGAAAAAGAAAAAGACUGAUCUUGGGGUAACUAUGUGAAUUAGGAGUACUAAAUUAAAGCCAGAGUCAGUUAAUCGUAGUUGCAACCUGCGGUAAAAUCUUGCUGCUUAGGGCAGCCUGGAUGACUCUGCGGAUUAGCGCCGCCUUCAGCCCAGGGCGUGACCUGAAGACCCAGGAUCGAGUCCCACGUCGGGCUCCCUGCAUGGAGCCUGCUUCUCCCUCUGCCUCUCUGUCUCUCUGAAUAAAUCUAAAACUUACAAAAAAAAAAAACUCUCUAGUUUAAACCGAUCAGUCCAUUUCAGCUCUCUCAGGUCAACGAACCUCUUCCAAUGGUUUCCGAAUUCAUUUCUCGCCACUGCGACUUGAACCAAAAAACCACAGAAAUGCUUCUACAGCUAAAAUGUAGAAACGAAAAAAAAUAAAAUAAAAAUAAAAAAAUAAAUAAAAAAUAAAAAAAUAGUCCCCCGUCGGGGUCCCUGCAUGGAGCCUGCUUCUUCUCUCUCUGCCUGUGUCUGCCUCUCUCUCUCUCUCUGUGUCUCUAUGAAUAAAUAAAUAAAAUCUUAAAAAAAUAAAAAAACAAAAUAAAAAAUAAAAUGUAGAAACAAAAAAUAAAUAAAUAAAUAAAUAAAUAAAUAAAUAAAUAAAUAAUUUUAAAAAGUCCCCCGUCGGGCUCCCUGCAUGGAGCCUGCUUCUCCCUCUGCCUGUGUCUCUGCCUCUCUCUCUGUGUCUCUUUGAAUAAAUAAAUAAAAUCUUAAAAAAAUAAAAAAAAACAAAAUAAAAAAUAAAAUGUAGGAAAAAGAAAAAAAAAAAAGUCCCCCGUCGGGCUCCCUGCAUGGAGCCUGCUUCUCCCUCUGUGUCUCUGUCCCUAUCUCUCUCUCUGUGUCUCUAUGAAUAAAUAAAUAAAAUCUUUAAAAAAAAUAAAAAUAAAAUAAAAAAUAAAAUGUAGAAACAAAAAAUAAAUAAAUAAUAAAAAUAUAGUCCCACGUCGGGCUCCCUGCAUGGAGCCUGCUUCUCCCUCUGCCUGUGUCUCUGUCCCUCUCUCUCUCUGUGUGUCUCUAUGAAUAAAUAAAUAAAAUCGUUAAAAAAAUAAAGUGUAGAAACGCCCUUACUUGACAUCUACCUUACUUGUUGUCUCAUGUUCAAAAAGAACUCAACCCUGC
Molecule: long non-coding RNA, 2428 nt
Filed under: Canis lupus familiaris (dog)
Lineage: Eukaryota; Metazoa; Chordata; Mammalia; Carnivora; Canidae
Description: lncRNA (ENSCAFG00000057901.1)
Source: RNAcentral